This 769-nucleotide long non-coding RNA is filed under the name Oryctolagus cuniculus (rabbit). RNAcentral's name for it is "lncRNA (ENSOCUG00000030878.1)". The record is from RNAcentral. Lineage: Eukaryota; Metazoa; Chordata; Mammalia; Lagomorpha; Leporidae.
GGAAGUGGGGGUUAUUGGGAAUUAAAAGAAAGCUUCUUCCAUUCUUUUGAGACAGAACAACCAAUGGGAAAGUGGGGAGACAGGGCAGAGCGGGUCCAUCCCAUGGCCUGCCCGGGGUUUAGGAGGGAAGCAGGUGGCCAGGGAGGGCAUUCAGCAGAAGGAACAGUGGGGGCUCCGGAUAUGGCUUCUGAUCACCCAGGCAUAAUUUAGUGGGACAUUUCACGAUGUGGAGUCCGGUAGUGAAUGGGUAAUUAUUCUACCUUUCAGUUUCAGGUUUGACCUCUGGCACACACCGACCCCAGGAAAAAUUUGGAAGCCUCCAGGCAAUGACCUGUUUUUCAAUGAGAACAUAUUUACAUCCAGCUGGAAUACAUCAAGACAAGCCAUUUCUCUUAUAGCCCCAUUCUUGCCAAAAGACUGGAAAAUAACUUAUUAGAGAGUCCAGCAUCUCAAGAGCCACAACAACAGCUGCACUGAAUAUAGAGCACACAGAAUGACUGGACACUGUGAAACUGGCUUGACGGAAACCAAUGCAGCGAUAAUUCCAGGCCUCACUUUGAUCUUUUCAGCUGAGCGUACAGCUUCCGUACAGUGAUACUGGCCCUUUAGCCAGCUGGCAAUGGAUUCAUGGAAAAUUCCUGUGUCCAGGGUGCCUCCCUGGCCACUUGCAAAGGACCAUCAUGGCUCGAGUCUGAGUGACACGAAAACCAUCCGUUUUGAUUGUGAAAGUAGGAAGGGGAGAUCUUUCCGGUUAAGCUGUUUGUCUUGA